Molecule: transfer-messenger RNA, 336 nt
Filed under: Actinomycetota bacterium
Lineage: Bacteria; Bacillati; Actinomycetota
Description: partial transfer-messenger RNA
Rfam family: transfer-messenger RNA
About the family: Bacterial tmRNA, also known as 10Sa RNA or SsrA, is named for its dual tRNA and mRNA-like properties. Its role is to liberate the mRNA from a stalled ribosome. To accomplish this part of the tmRNA is used as a reading frame that ends in a translation stop signal.
Source: RNAcentral
CCAGGAGAAGCGGGUCGAGAAGCCAGCGUCAUCUCGUAAACGUUCGCUGGAAACCAUAAGUGCCAACGCAAAGCGCACUGACUUCGCUCUCGCUGCCUGAGCAGUGAUCGAAGGGUCGGACCGGGCAUCCGUCUCCGUCCCGGACCCCGGCCUCAGCUAGGAGACUUGCUGGUCAACCACUGUCACGAGGGUUGAUCGGGACUUCAUCGUGACUGAGCCUGCCGGCGACCUGUUCGUGGGAGUGCCGGGGCUGAGAAAGCGACCUCACGAACUGCACCCGGAGAAGACCUGGUUCGACGCUUCAGGACGCGGGUUCGAUUCCCGCCAGCUCCACUC